UGGGUGGGGAGGAGGGCUCCGCAUCAUCUGGGUUACGGGCUGUUUCUUGGGUCAACUGCUGUUUAAGGGGAUCGAAAAAUAAUGAGCCUAAAUGCCAGCGGCGUCCGUUUUCUUAUCUGUAAAAAGUCCCUCCAGACUGACCAACUUUAGGAGUCCCGGUUUUUUCCUUCAAAACAAUUCGAAGCUUUUCAAGCAGAGUAAAAACUCUUUCAAAGCGCUGGUUUGGAGUGUCCAAGAGCAUGGCCCUCGUGAGCCCAGGUCUGGAGGCUGCUCGUCCUGACUUUCACUGUGACCUUGACAAAGCACCAGAAAUAACCAGCAACAAAUUUUGUAUGCCAGGAAAAUAGGCUCCAAGCAGGACGCCUGCCUGACCUAUAAAAUGCUGUGAACCCAGACGGAUCUUUACUCUGGAUCUUACCCUCCUUACAAUUUUAGGCUCCAAUAUUAAAAUGUAGUAUUACCACUGCAGGUAGUACUUUGAUUUAAAAAAUGGGACAUGGGGGCCUGGGUGGGUCA
This is a long non-coding RNA of Callorhinus ursinus (northern fur seal), 516 nucleotides long. RefSeq lists it as uncharacterized. The record is from RefSeq and is a predicted model, not a curated record. Lineage: Eukaryota; Metazoa; Chordata; Mammalia; Carnivora; Otariidae.